Molecule: ribosomal RNA, 443 nt
Filed under: uncultured bacterium
Lineage: Bacteria
Description: partial 16S ribosomal RNA
Rfam family: Bacterial small subunit ribosomal RNA
Source: RNAcentral
GAUGAACGCUGGCGGCAUGCCUAACACAUGCAAGUCGAUCGGUAAGGCUCUUCGGAGUACACGAGAGGCGGACGGCUGAGUAACGCGUAGGAACACACCCUGCAGUGAGGGAUAAGACACCGAAAGGUGUUCUAAUACCGCAUACGGUCUUCGGAUUAAAGCAUUUAUGCGCUGAAGGAGUGGCCUGCGUCAUAUUAGAUAGUUGGUGAGGUAAUGGCUCACCAAGUCGAUGAUGUGUAGCUGGUCUGAGAGGAUGAUCAGCCAGACUGGAACUGAGACACGGUCCAGACUCCUACGGGAGGCAGCAGUGAGGAAUAUUUCACAAUGAGCGAAAGCUUGAUGGAGCAAUGCCGCGUGCAGGAUGAAGGCCCUCGGGUUGUAAACUGCUUUUAUAAGUGAAGAUUAUGACGGUAACUUAUGAAUAAGGGACGGCUAACUACGUG